RNAcentral lists this ribosomal RNA (460 nucleotides) under uncultured bacterium. RNAcentral describes it as "partial 16S ribosomal RNA". It matches the Rfam family "Bacterial small subunit ribosomal RNA", at positions 338 to 795 of the family's 1533-position model. The record is from RNAcentral.
CCUACGGGAGGCAGCAGUGAGGAAUAUUGGUCAAUGGACGAGAGUCUGAACCAGCCAAGUAGCGUGAAGGAUGACUGCCCUCUGGGUUGUAAACUUCUUUUAUAUGGGAAUAAAAUGUUCCACGUAUGGGAUUUUGUAUGUACCAAAUGACUAAGGAUAGGCUAACUCCGUGACAGCAGCCGCGGUAAUACGGAGUAUCCGAGCGUUAUCCGGAUUGAGUGGGUUUAAAGGGAGCGUAGGUGGAUUGUUAAGUCAGUUGUGAAAGUUUGCGGCUCAACCGUAAAAUUGCAUUUGAAACUGGCAGUCUUGAGUACAGUAGAGGUGGGCGGAAUUCGUGGUGUAGCGGUGAAAUGCUUAGAUAUCACGAAGAACUCCGAUUGCGAAGGCAGCUCACUGGACUGCAACUGACACUGAGGCUCGAAAGUGUGGGUAUCAAACAGGAUUAGAUACCCGGGUAGUC